This is a long non-coding RNA of Symphalangus syndactylus (siamang), 761 nucleotides long. RefSeq lists it as uncharacterized. NCBI's taxonomy places the organism in Eukaryota, Metazoa, Chordata, Mammalia, Primates, Hylobatidae. The record is from RefSeq and is a predicted model, not a curated record.
CCUCACAGCAGCUGCAGCAAGCCCCACCCAAUGAGACUCUAAGACUCCGGCAGUUACGGUUGUUGAAAAUUUCAAACAUGGUGUCAUCGUGAAGAACAUCUGGCUCUUGAUCCCAGUGCUUAGUCCCACAGAUUCCAUUCAGGAUGCCAUGUGACAUAAACACCAGGAAUGUGCUGUCUGAGGACUGGUGCUCUGGCUUUCAUAGGGGCUUGAGAAAUAACUGUAAUUAUCCCACUUUACAGAGGAAGAAAUGAAGCACAGAAAGAUGAAGGAACUUCCCCAUGUUCCCACAGGUAUCCACAGUUCUAGCAAGGCAUGCAAUGGUACUGCUCAUUGUAGAAUCAGAUGAGAAAUAUGGAGAAGAAGACUUGAAGUUGAUCAUUUGAGAAAGAGAAGCCAUUCCUGGAAUCCAUAAAAACACUAUGUAAAAUGUUAAAUGGGCUUAAUAAAAAAACAGAAUUCAUCAUAUGUUUAAAUGAAAAUUCUGCCAAUGUGAAGACAUGCUGGAUCCUUGGAUAUUCCCUGGUCAGAGGGAAGAAGCCAGAGUGAUCGAUGGCCUUUUUCCAUCUUCAUAGCCUACACCUUAAGAUUAAGCUAUUAGAAAACCCAAAUGGAGGGAUUGAAACUGCUUUUGCAAUAUCAUAACUGAGAGCAAUAAAACAAGUGUUUUCUAAGAUCCUACUCCCAAGCUCCUAGUCAGAAAAGGACUCACCUGCCAUAGGGAACAGCCUCUGUCCUUUUCUACAGCGUUGAAAAGAGCC